This 484-nucleotide ribosomal RNA is filed under the name uncultured bacterium. RNAcentral's name for it is "partial 16S ribosomal RNA". It matches the Rfam family "Bacterial small subunit ribosomal RNA", at positions 28 to 507 of the family's 1533-position model. The record is from RNAcentral.
AUUGAACGCUGGCGGCAGGCCUAACACAUGCAAGUCGAGCGGAUGAAGGGAGCUUGCUCCUGGAUUCAGCGGCGGACGGGUGAGUAAUGCCUAGGAAUCUGCCUGGUAGUGGGGGAUAACGUCCGGAAACGGGCGCUAAUACCGCCUACGUCCUGAGGGAGAAAGUGGGGGAUCUUCGGACCUCACGCUAUCAGAUGAGCCUAGGUCGGAUUAGCUAGUUGGUGGGGUAACGGCCUACUAAGGCGACGCUCCGUAACUGGUCUGAGAGGAUGGUCAGUCGAAAGGGAGGGGGGACAGGGUCCAGGGGCCUGAGGGAGGACGCAGGGGGGAAUAGUAGGCAAUGGGGGGAAGCCUGAUCCAGCCAGGCCGGGUGUGGUAAGAAGGGGUUCGGAGGGGAAAGCGCGUUAAGGUGGGGGGAAGGGCAGUAAGUUAAGACCUUGCGGGUGUGACGUUACCGGCAGAAUAAGCACCGGCUAACUUCGUG